RNAcentral lists this ribosomal RNA (295 nucleotides) under uncultured bacterium. Its description in RNAcentral is "partial 16S ribosomal RNA". It matches the Rfam family "Bacterial small subunit ribosomal RNA", at positions 505 to 799 of the family's 1533-position model. The record is from RNAcentral.
GUGCCAGCAGCCGCGGUAAUACGUAGGGGGCAAGCGUUGUCCGGAAUUACUGGGCGUAAAGCGCGCGUAGGCGGGUAUUUAAGUCAGGAGUGAAAACUAUCGGCUCAACCGGUAGCCUGCUCAUGAAACUGGAUACCUUGAGGGUAUGAGAGGAAAGCGGAAUUCCCAGUGUAGCGGUGAAAUGCGUAGAUAUUGGGAGGAACACCAGUGGCGAAGGCGGCUUUCUGGCAUACAACUGACGCUGAGGUGCGAAAGCGUGGGGAGCAAACAGGAUUAGAUACCCGGGUAGUCCAAU